RNAcentral lists this small RNA (76 nucleotides) under Flavobacterium croceum DSM 17960. Its description in RNAcentral is "Flavo-1 RNA". The stretch from base 9 to 76 matches the Rfam family "Flavo-1 RNA", at positions 9 to 76 of the family's 76-position model. The record is from RNAcentral. Lineage: Bacteria; Pseudomonadati; Bacteroidota; Flavobacteriia; Flavobacteriales; Flavobacteriaceae.
AUGCGUUAGGGAUAGUAGCGACAUCCUUUUGUGUAGAGAAGCGAAACAAAAGAUACAGCGAAUAGCCCGACCUGUU